Molecule: long non-coding RNA, 535 nt
Organism: Cavia porcellus (domestic guinea pig)
Lineage: Eukaryota; Metazoa; Chordata; Mammalia; Rodentia; Caviidae
Exons: 2
Source: RefSeq, a predicted model, not a curated record
CAGUGGCAGGGCCUUGAGCCUGCCAUCAAGGAGCUGCCCAAGGGGACCAGCGCCCCAAGUCUUGCUUUGAGAUCAGAAACCACCGUCAUGAAUGAGCGACUCUCCUAAUGGUCCUUCUCGGCCAGUGCUGGCAGACUGUGUCCAGUCAGCCUUCGAAGUGGGACAGAGCACGACCCUGUCUGGACCAUGUCGGCUGGGUCUGGGUGUCAACUGUCUGAAUGCUGGUGAGUGGGACAGCAGCUUUUCAGGACAUGCUGGUUGGGCCAAGUGUCAGCGUCUUUUAACACCAAACAAGAGAAGAAAGUGCACUGACGGUGGUGGAAGUAGCAUUACCUCGUGCUGCACGAAGCUCAGGCCUAAGUGGGUCAGUUCUGUGCUGGUGGCCAGUGUAGGUGGCGGCUCCUACACACAUCUGCAUAAAACCCUGAGGUACCUGAAUCCAUGGAUACUCCGAGGAUCCUUCAUGCUGCGGUCGGAGAUUCCAGAGCUCCCCUCAGGAUCUCCCUAGGUCCCCCGACUCUGAUGCGCUCCAUCA